Molecule: ribosomal RNA, 539 nt
Filed under: uncultured bacterium
Lineage: Bacteria
Description: partial 16S ribosomal RNA
Rfam family: Bacterial small subunit ribosomal RNA
Source: RNAcentral
UGGGGAAUUUUGGACAAUGGGGGAAACCCUGAUCCAGCCAUCCCGCGUGUGCGAUGAAGGCCUUCGGGCUGUAAAGCACUUUUGGCAGGAAAGAAACGUCGCGGGUUAAUACCCCGCGAAACUGACGGUACCUGCAGAAUAAGCACCGGCUAACUACGUGCCAGCAGCCGCGGUAAUACGUAGGGUGCAAGCGUUAAUCGGAAUUACUGGGCGUAAAGCGUGCGCAGGCGGUUCGGAAAGAAAGAUGUGAAAUCCCAGAGCUUAACUUUGGAACUGCAUUUUUAACUACCGGGCUAGAGUGUGUCAGAGGGAGGUGGAAUUCCGCGUGUAGCAGUGAAAUGCGUAGAUAUGCGGAGGAACACCGAUGGCGAAGGCAGCCUCCUGGGAUAACACUGACGCCCAUGCACGAAAGCGUGGGGAGCAAACAGGAUUAGAUACCCUGGUAGUCCACGCCCUAAACGAUGUCAACUAGCUGUUGGGGCCUUCGGGCCUUGGUAGCGCAGCUAACGCGUGAAGUUGACCGCCUGGGGAGUACGGUC